This 164-nucleotide ribosomal RNA is filed under the name Clostridium sp. enrichment culture DGGE gel band jl-10d-15. RNAcentral's name for it is "partial 16S ribosomal RNA". It matches the Rfam family "Bacterial small subunit ribosomal RNA", at positions 343 to 524 of the family's 1533-position model. Lineage: Bacteria; Bacillati; Bacillota; Clostridia; Eubacteriales; Clostridiaceae. The record is from RNAcentral.
GGGAGGCAGCAGUGGGGAAUAUUGCACAAUGGGCGAAAGCCUGAUGCAGCAACGCCGCGUGAGUGAUGAAGGCCUUCGGGUUGUAAAGCUCUGUCUUCUGGGACGAUAAUGACGGUACCAGAGGAGGAAGCCACGGCUAACUACGUGCCAGCAGCCGCGGUAAU